UCGUACAAUAGAGGUGCUAAGGUUGUCGCUGACUUUUGAAAGGGUCGUGCACACCUCAGUACUCUCAUAUAUAAUCCAUCUCACCCCCUUUGUGCAUUACCGCGUGGGGACCCUUUUUGGCUAGUUCUGAGGGGGGUUUUCACAUAAAACUUUGAUAUAAUGUAGAAUGUCUUUAUUUGCGGUCACACGCAAUCAAUA
RNAcentral lists this unclassified non-coding RNA (198 nucleotides) under uncultured Russula. RNAcentral describes it as "sequence contains ITS1". Lineage: Eukaryota; Fungi; Basidiomycota; Agaricomycetes; Russulales; Russulaceae. The record is from RNAcentral.